This 1737-nucleotide ribosomal RNA is filed under the name Salmonella enterica subsp. enterica serovar Bareilly. Its description in RNAcentral is "bacterial LSU rRNA". It matches the Rfam family "Bacterial large subunit ribosomal RNA", at positions 1223 to 2925 of the family's 2925-position model. Lineage: Bacteria; Pseudomonadati; Pseudomonadota; Gammaproteobacteria; Enterobacterales; Enterobacteriaceae. The record is from RNAcentral.
GUUGGGUAGGGGAGCGUUCUGUAAGCCUGUGAAGGUGGCCUGUGAGGGUUGCUGGAGGUAUCAGAAGUGCGAAUGCUGACAUAAGUAACGAUAAAGCGGGUGAAAAGCCCGCUCGCCGGAAGACCAAGGGUUCCUGUCCAACGUUAAUCGGGGCAGGGUGAGUCGACCCCUAAGGCGAGGCCGAAAGGCGUAGUCGAUGGGAAACGGGUUAAUAUUCCCGUACUUGGUGUUACUGCGAAGGGGGGACGGAGAAGGCUAUGUUGGCCGGGCGACGGUUGUCCCGGUUUAAGCGUGUAGGCUGGUUUUCCAGGCAAAUCCGGUUCACUUUAAAACUGAGGCGUGACGACGAGGCACUACGGUGCUGAAGCAACAAAUGCCCUGCUUCCAGGAAAAGCCUCUAAGCAUCAGGUAACACGAAAUCGUACCCCAAACCGACACAGGUGGUCAGGUAGAGAAUACCAAGGCGCUUGAGAGAACUCGGGUGAAGGAACUAGGCAAAAUGGUGCCGUAACUUCGGGAGAAGGCACGCUGACACGUAGGUGAAGUGAUUUACUCACGGAGCUGAAGUCAGUCGAAGAUACCAGCUGGCUGCAACUGUUUAUUAAAAACACAGCACUGUGCAAACACGAAAGUGGACGUAUACGGUGUGACGCCUGCCCGGUGCCGGAAGGUUAAUUGAUGGGGUCAGCGCAAGCGAAGCUCCUGAUCGAAGCCCCGGUAAACGGCGGCCGUAACUAUAACGGUCCUAAGGUAGCGAAAUUCCUUGUCGGGUAAGUUCCGACCUGCACGAAUGGCGUAAUGAUGGCCAGGCUGUCUCCACCCGAGACUCAGUGAAAUUGAACUCGCUGUGAAGAUGCAGUGUACCCGCGGCAAGACGGAAAGACCCCGUGAACCUUUACUAUAGCUUGACACUGAACAUUGAGCCUUGAUGUGUAGGAUAGGUGGGAGGCUUUGAAGUGUGGACGCCAGUCUGCAUGGAGCCGACCUUGAAAUACCACCCUUUAAUGUUUGAUGUUCUAACGUGGACCCGUAAUCCGGGUUGCGGACAGUGUCUGGUGGGUAGUUUGACUGGGGCGGUCUCCUCCUAAAGAGUAACGGAGGAGCACGAAGGUUGGCUAAUCCUGGUCGGACAUCAGGAGGUUAGUGCAAUGGCAUAAGCCAGCUUGACUGCGAGCGUGACGGCGCGAGCAGGUGCGAAAGCAGGUCAUAGUGAUCCGGUGGUUCUGAAUGGAAGGGCCAUCGCUCAACGGAUAAAAGGUACUCCGGGGAUAACAGGCUGAUACCGCCCAAGAGUUCAUAUCGACGGCGGUGUUUGGCACCUCGAUGUCGGCUCAUCACAUCCUGGGGCUGAAGUAGGUCCCAAGGGUAUGGCUGUUCGCCAUUUAAAGUGGUACGCGAGCUGGGUUUAGAACGUCGUGAGACAGUUCGGUCCCUAUCUGCCGUGGGCGCUGGAGAACUGAGGGGGGCUGCUCCUAGUACGAGAGGACCGGAGUGGACGCAUCACUGGUGUUCGGGUUGUCAUGCCAAUGGCACUGCCCGGUAGCUAAAUGCGGAAGAGAUAAGUGCUGAAAGCAUCUAAGCACGAAACUUGCCCCGAGAUGAGUUCUCCCUGAGACUUAGAGUCUCCUGAAGGAACGUUGAAGACGACGACGUUGAUAGGCCGGGUGUGUAAGCGCAGCGAUGCGUUGAGCUAACCGGUACUAAUGAACCGUGAGGCUUAACCUUACAACGCCGAAG